GGGGGCGACCGGUUUCGACGGGGAUCAAUGAAGCGCAGGUGGCAUCCCGAGGUGCUCGCUCCUCGUAAAACUGUGGGCACGGUCAUAGCUGCCGACAACCAGCUAGCUCUGGCGGCCUAACACCCGCCAGCGUCCUCCGCAUCGGGUCAACGGGGUGCGGGUUCGGACGUCAUAUUCCGGGGACUGGCUCCGAACCCCGCUCUUGGGUGAGGGGCGAGACUUUUAGGAGCUGGCCGCCCUGACAACCAGCCGGUUGGAGGGAUGGGUGGCGAGAGCACAAGACAACCGGCUAUGGAUGUAGAUGCCUGUCGCGGAGGGUUUCCGGACGUGGGUUCAAUUCCCACCGCCUCCACCA
RNAcentral lists this transfer-messenger RNA (355 nucleotides) under Candidatus Rokuibacteriota bacterium. It matches the Rfam family "transfer-messenger RNA". Rfam says of the family: Bacterial tmRNA, also known as 10Sa RNA or SsrA, is named for its dual tRNA and mRNA-like properties. Its role is to liberate the mRNA from a stalled ribosome. The record is from RNAcentral. Lineage: Bacteria; Candidatus Rokuibacteriota.